AAUGGAAGUAUUUUUCAAAACUGUUUUACAUGGAUAAAGUUCAGAUUUAUACCUUUAAAAUGACUUCUCUCACGUUUUCAUACGAUUUUUCUGCAAUUUUUGGCGAAUUUUACAAAACUGCCUAUCAUAUUUGAAAUAAUUUCGGACCAACCUGUGAAGAUGAGUAAUUUCACACUAGUUUGAAGCGAUCAAAAAUUAUGAGAAAAUCUGAGAAGAAAGUAGACAAAAUUUACAAACUUCCAAAAUUUACGAAUCCAGAUUUCGACUUACGAUGAAUUUUCUGCAAAUUUUCUAAAAACUAGUUCGGAAAAGCCAAAAACCAGAAAAAUAUGUAUUUUCACAAAACCAAGCCAAAAAUGAUAUUUUUGACAAAAAUGGGUUUAAAAUGCUAUUUUUAUCACAAAGUAGUCAUCAACACAAGUUUUUAACAAAAUUGGAGAUUAAAGUGUUAUUCUUACAAAAAUUGGGCCUUAAUUGUAAAUUUUUGGCUUAUUGGGCCAAGAAUGUCAUUUUUACAAAAAGUGGGCUUUAGAUAUCAAUUAUGUAAAUAAUCAAGCUAAAAUAAACAAAACAAUAACAAACGGGUUAAAAACGACAUUCAUAUCCUUAUUGGGCCUGGAAAUAAUAUACAUGUUUAGUGGGCCUGAGUGUCCUUUUACAUGUAUAUUGGGCUCGAGAUAGGUAUUCAUAUCCUUAUUGGGCCUGGAAAUAAUAUACUUGUUUAGUGGGCCUUAGUGUCCUUUUACAUGUAUAUUGGGCUUAGGAUAGACAUUCACAUUCCUUUUGAGCCUGGAAAUAAUAGACACGUAUAGUGGGCCUUAGUGGUCCACUUACAUGUUUAUUGGGUCUAGGAAUGGGUUUUAUAUGUGUUAUUCUUUUUAUGUUAUUUUAGUGGAUACUAUUUGCAUGCUAUUUGGGCCUAUAAAUACCUUACAUGUGAAAUGGGCCUUAGUUGUCCUUUCACAUAUAUUUUGGGCCCAUGUUAUAUAAUCUCAUUCCCUUUAGGUCUUGAAAUGAUUUACAUGUUUAGUGCUGCCUUAGGGGUUCACUUACAUGGAUCAUUGGUCCUAGAAUGAGUUUAUACAUUUUUGUUCGCGUAAAUUCGAUUAAGGAUCUAGCGAGUUUUUAUCGGUUGGCACCUAUUAAGUGUACGAUUGUAGCCUGUAGUUAUAACCAGAGUCUCUUGGAGGGAGCGCGGGGAUUUGUGUAUAGAUCUAUACGAGGAUGACACCCCACUCCUGAGUUGUUCGCUACAGCUAGACUAACUCAGUCUAGGGUGACAAAAACCUUAUUCUAUUUUCCGUCGGCGUCCAACGACGCCAAGACAGGUGAAAUUGUCAUUAUUUAGUAUGGUUAUGACGGCUCGCUUAGAGGAAUUAACGUUAUGAAGUUUACGGAAGACCAUUCACCAUUCACCAUUCACCAUUCUCUUGGAUUACUCGGAAACAUUCUCUUACUAGUACUCAACCUCGGGGGUUGGUAUGACAACUUUCUCUUGUACAGACAACAUCGGGUUGUCUGGGAAUAUUCUCUUUACAUGCUCUUACAUUCUCUCUACAUUCUCUUUACCUUUUUAGUCAAAUAAACAAUAACAUACAUGCAUUAAUACAAGAUCUAACACAAACACACUAAACAAUUUUCAGAAAGUAUCGGAUUUUCUGGUGGUUUUCAAAGUUAUACAAAUCAUUUUCACAAACAUGCUUAUGAACUCACCAACAUUUUUAUGUUGACCGUUUUCAAAAUAACUUGUAUUCUCAGGAAAUCGUUGAAGCAGGAUGAAUAAAACAAACUAUUGGAUAUUGUGUUAUAUUUUGUUUCAUCAUACUCUUACUAUUUUGGCAUGUAAUAUUCAAAUACAAUACUCGAUGUAAACAAUGAAUGUUGUUAUAUUACAUGUGUGAUGAUGAUGAUGUUAUGUUUCAAUUAUAUUCACUGUAAUGAUAUUUCAAGAUGAAGUCACGCACAAGCCCCCGGACGUUUCUGCCGUCUGGUUCGGGGGUGUGACAGAUUGGUAUCAGAGCAUUGUUUAUAGUGAACUAGCAUAUCUAAUCAUACACGAUAUGCAACUAUAAAUACAAUGGGACUAAACAACUCUGAACAUAAUAAUUAAAAUACAUACCUUUGUGUGCAUUUUAGAAUAAAAACACAACAAUAACAGUAAAAGUCUUUGGAGGAUUUGGACAUCGCUAUUAAACUCGGGCAGUUAUGUAGUCGUAUUGGGGGUGAAUGUAACCUGAUCAACUACAUUCAUUCAAAAUACGACCAACAUGUGUUCAGGAGUAAUUGUGAUGGACAAUGAAUCAAAAACUUACCAUUUAAUUAUCCAAAGAGCUUAUAGAACCAAACCUAAAAAAAAUUAAAUUACUAUAGGAGUAAUUGGUAUGUUAUUUGUUUCUAGUAUUCAUAACCGUUCGUGCAAUACACUAUAGACGAGUAUCAUUAGCCAAGAAACCCUUAUCUCCCUAGUCAGGGAAUAGCAGGGUGGCUCGACUCAGAGGAAGAACCAGAGGAGGAAUACGAAGUAGAACUUGCAGUGGACCCGCCGAGUGAAUAGUAGACCUCGAGGAGGAAGAGCCCGAGGGAAAUUAUGAUGAUGAAUCGGGUGGAGAAUCCGAUGUCAUCAAUCCUCCAUGCAAAACCAGAGUACCGACAUAUCGUGUGGGCCCCGGUGGCCCCAUGCCCCCUUAGGCACACGAUAUUUGGAUAUAGAUUCACCAGUAGGGGAUACGACCACACUACAGUAGUAACUGAGGUCUCUUCGAUCUUAGGCAUAGAGGACGAGAUGACCGGUCCCUCCCAGUCAUGGUCCAGCGCGCCCAAGGUAUUGAUAAUCGAGCUCAGGACACCCCAAAUCGAACGGAACAAAUGCGGUUUGCUAUUGAGAGAGACAAGAAACAAACAAAGGAAGUGAACGGAGACUCCCAAGCGAGACAGUUAGUUUGAGAAGUACGACUACGAGAUACCGAACAACAAGUAGCUCAUCUCCGAGGUGCAUCCACUUCAUCAGCACGACCACUAGACACUUUCCGUCACAAUUAGGAUCAGCCUUUUCUACUUCCCCCUACUAUUCGACAUGACUCUCUUUCGUGUACUAAGAUGGUACUUACCACUGGAACAAUUAUGUGCUAUCUUUAUUUCAUAUUACCACAUAGACUCAAUUAUAUGCACAAGCGAACCCUUAAAACCGCUAGAUACUUAAGGAUCUCGAAACCGAAACAAUCCAUAUCCUCUGAGGGGUGACGUAACGAUCGUGCCAAAUCUGUGAUUACCUACUACCGUGAAUACAUCAUAGGGAUGUAGAUGGAAGCAGUGAGAAUUAUGAAACAAGAUGCAAAAUUCAUAAAGUACAACCAGGAAUGACGAUCAUUACUUACGAUCUGGAUUAUCAAUGUGCAACAGGAAAAUGCCAUCCCACAAGAAUAACAAGCGCACUCGCGAGACACCAGUCCUGUAGAUGGACUCUACUACAUUUCAAACUGCUGUAACGGCGGCAGUAACCGCUGUUAUGGCACAAAUCAAUGCAAACAACCCCAAUGGAGGCGGGAAUAGCAUUGACAACUUCAGCCAAAGGAACAAACAUGGAAACCAAAAAGUGACAACCUAUCAAGGAACUCCAAACCCUAAGCUUAAGAGCAGGAAGCUGAGGUCUGGAAGUAAGGGAAAGGGACAACCCACUCAAUGGUUCUCCAGGAAGCAACAUGUUGUUGCUAUUCAUGCGACCAUGACCCCUAUUACCCCAACAACCAGAAGACCAUAUGCUGGAAGCCUUCCAAAAUGCAACCAGUGCAAAUUCCAUCAUAAUGGAGCCUACCGGGAGAUGCAUUGUAACAAAUGCAACCGAAAGAAUCACACCACCAAAUUAUGUAGAACUUAUCCAUGCCAGAAUCGUCAGCCAAAUGAAAACGACAACAAUCGCAACAACCCUAACAACAACACCAAUGAUGAGACCAGUCAGACCUGCUAUGGGUGUGGAGGAACCGGUCACUUCAGGCAUAAUUUCCCCAAGGAUAACAAUCAAGGAGCGGAAGGAUCGGAAAUGGUCCUGACCUUGGGUCAAGGACAUGCAGUCCAAGCCCCAACGAUUGUUAUUGGUACGUUCCCACUUAACAACUCUUUCGCUUACCUCUUAUUCAAUAGUAAAGUUGAGUGAAGCUUCGUUAGUAACAUAUUCAAAUACUUACUAAAACAACAACCCAAAGCUAAGCNAAGCCUUUACGGUGGACAUGGCCAAUGGGGAAAAACCGAAGUAACCUAGUAUAUUUUUGUGGAGUACACCUUAACACUAAACAGUCAUUCAUUUCAAAUAAAAUUUAAUGCCAGUAAAUAUUAGGAGUUUUGAUGUGAUAAUCGGCAUGGUUGGGCUAAGCCCCCACCGUGUUGAUACUAUGUGUCACGAGAAGGCCGUUUGUCUUAACCUUCCCAAUCACAAAAUUCUAAUAAUCCAUGCUUAUAAACCUGGCGCCAAUCCUCAUCCUAUCUCGUGCAUCAACGCACAGAAGUGCCUGCACCAGAAAAACUAUGUUUUCCUUGCUCAUGUUGUGGACAAGACCAAGGAAGAAGUAAGCAUACAAGGUAUUCCGGUAGCAUGAGAUUUUCCGAAUGUAUUUCCCGAAGAACUUCCGGGAAUACCUCCAGAAAGACAGGUUGAAUUUUUAAUCGACCUCAUACCGAGGAGCACAUCAAUUGCCAAUUCACCCUAUAGGUUGACUCUCGCCGAAAAUUCACAAGUUAUCCAGUCAAUUGAGAAGAAUUGUCGCGCAAAGGAUUCAUCGGACCAAGCUUCUCACCCUGGAGAGCUCCGGUCUUGUUCUUCAAGAAGACGGAUCCUUCAGAAGGUACAUGGAUCUUAGGAAACUGAAUAAACUCCCUAUCAAAAAUCGAUACCCACUUCCUCGGACUUACGAUCUAUUUGGCCAAGCUCCAAGGAGCUAGUUACUUCUCUAAAAUAGAUCUAAGAACCGAUUAUCAACAACUUCGAGUUCGAGAAGACGACAUUUCAAAAACUGCCUUCCGAACUCGUCACGACCAUUUCAAAUUCAUUGUGAUACCCUUCGGUCUAAUAAUGCUCCCACACUAUUCAUGGACCCCACGAACCAAGUUUUCUCAACCAUUCCUAGUUAGCCUUUUCAUUAUUUUCAUCAAUAACAUACUCGUCUGCCCACGAAGCGAGAACGAAACACUGUCAACAUCUACGACCAGCCUUGAAAGCAUCAAAGUCGGAGAAUAUCGCGAAGAAAAAACUACGUGGAUGGAUAAAACUCUCGGAGUUGAGAGACGAAGCUUAUAGGAAUCAAACAAGAUGGAAGGAUUAGCUUGGAUCUAUAUCCAGGAGAUCGUGAGACUCCAUGAAAUAUCGGUAUCUACUAUCUCGGAUCAAGAUAACGGGAUUCCUUCAAGAUUUUGACAGUCACUUCAGAGGGCUAUGGGAACAUAGCUAGAUAUGAGCGUUUCUUACCACCUUCAAAGCAAUAGCCAUGGCGAAUGAACCAUUCAACCACUCGAAGUUAUGCUACAAGUCUGGGUGUCUGAAUUCAAUAAGUCAGGGGAUACCCAGUUGCCCUUGACUGAAUUCUCAUGCCAUAACAGCUAUCGCAUGAGAUUGCACCUUUCGAAACACUUUAUAGUCAUGAAUGCAGAUCACUCGCCAGUACUCUCAUGAUACCAGAAACCAUUUGCGAAACAACAGAGAAGAUAAUCCAAAUCAAAGCUUGACUUCAAGCAUCGCGAGACCGACAGAAGAGCUAUUCUGACAAGCGGCGUAAGCCAUUAGGAUGUCAAGUCGGGGAUCGCGUAUUAUCAAAAGAAUCUCCUUGGAAAGGAAUGAUUCGCUUUAGGAAACGAGAAAACUAAACCCACGAUACAUCGGGCUGUUCGAGAUUUUUGCUCGGAUUGGUCCAAAGACUUAUAGGCUGUAGCUACCAAUAGAGCUCAGCAACGUACACCCUGUGUUCAGCUUCUCGAAUCUGAAAAAGUGUCUAUCAUGCAAAACUCUUAUCAUUCCUUUAUAAGGGAUCGAAAUAAACAAGAAUCUCCUGUUCGUCAAAGAACCAGUCGAGGUGUUUUACAUAGGGAAGUAGAGCAUACAAAACAAAGCCACAUUUCGAUUGUGAAGGUUCGAUGGAACACAAAACGUGGACCGGAAUUCACAUGGGAAACACAAAGAUCAGAUGAAGUACCCAUUCUCUCAUUCAUGAACCUAUCUUUCGAAAGAAUUUCGGGACGAAAUUCCCUCUAACGGGGGGAUGAUGUCACAACUAGCAUUUUAGCUAGGAAAUUCUAUUAUCAUAUAAACAUCAUCCAUUGUAAAAGCCUAAACUCUAUUCUCGUUCAAAUACAUCUCAUAUGUUCAAAUAAGGGUUGGAAACCCUAGAGAGCCCGAUUCAAGUCUAAUGUGUUUUAGGAUUCUCUUGUUGGGCCUAAUGGACCAAUAAGUAUCCAAGUUGACUACUUUGGGCCUAAAAACCCUAAUUAUGUUCUAAUUGGACCCAAUUCAUAAAUCUAUCACUUUUUGGGCCAUGAUGGGCCAUAAAGGAUUUAAUUAGCCCUAAUGGGCCCUAAACUAAUUUCUUUUGCCAUUUUGGGCUGUGAGCCUCCUUAAGAGCCAAUGGGCCAAAAAAAAAAAUUGGGCUCCAUAAAUAUUCAAACAAGACCAAGGUUGAACCCAAAUCAUUUCACUCUUAAUUCUUUGGCCCAAAUCUCGGCCCAAUGGAGAUAAUUAUGCAAUUAAAAAAAAAAAAAGGAGAUUAAACAUGCAAGUGCCACCUAAUCUUUGCAUGGUGGACUUCCAUGCUUAAACCCACCAUUUAACAAUGCAAGUUACAUGUAUCUAGACAAGAAUUACUCUCCAUCCCUCCCUUCUUCAAACUCAUGGCCAUAAGGCCUCCUCACCACCUCAUUCCCUUUCCAAAACCUUUCAAGAACACCUCUUCCCUUUCAUCAAAAAUUUCGAGAAUUAGGAACAUUCCAAGGAAGCUUUUCAUUCAAAAAUCACACCAAGAUACAUUCUAGUGAACUCAUCAAGAUUUGAAGAUCACUUCAAGAAGCUAGCUAGAGUCAUAACUUACACCACCUUCUUCUUAUCUUCAUCAAAACCGAAAUCCAAACCCCAAGGUGAGUUCAUACCCCUUGUUUUCUGUUUUUAUAUGAUUUUUGGGGGAGAAUACAAGUUGCUUUGUGUAGAUCUAUGUGUAUAUGCAUGACUAUGUGUGUUUUCCAUGAAUUAUUUGGUGAUUAUGUGUUGAUUUCUUCACUAAUCUAAAAAUAUGUUAAGAAACUUGAAGUUUAUCACUAGGAUCUUCACAUGAAUCUUGAGAAAAGUAUGUUUUAUCACAAGUAUUACAUGUAAACAUGUAGAUCUGGGAUUUUUAUACUUGAUAUAGCAAAAAUAAGUGUUGUGUUCAAAGAUCUAUAAACUAAACCCACAAACCAGCCCUUGACAGAAAACUUUUGGUGCAAUCUCGGACUGUUUUGACCAUCCAAAUGGAAGUAUUUUUCAAAACUGUUUUACAUGGAUAAAUGUCAGAAUUAUACCUUUAAAAUGACUACUCUCACGUUUUCAUACGAUUUUUCUACAAUUUUUGGCGAAUUUUACAAAACUGCCUAUCAUAUUUGAAAUAAUUUCGGACCAACCUGUGAAGAUGAGUAAUUUCACACUAGUUUCAAGCCAUCAAAAAUUACCAGAAAAAUUUGGAACAAAGUAGACAAAAUUUCCAAACUUCCAAAAUUUACGGAUCUAGAUUUCGACUUACGAUGAAUUUUCUGCAAAUUUUUUAAAAACUAGUUCGAUAAAGCCAAAA
RNAcentral lists this long non-coding RNA (7796 nucleotides) under Lactuca sativa (garden lettuce). RNAcentral describes it as "long non-coding RNA (LSAT_LNC008514)". The record is from RNAcentral. Lineage: Eukaryota; Viridiplantae; Streptophyta; Magnoliopsida; Asterales; Asteraceae.